CAGUCGCCGCGGUAAUACGUAGGGUGCAAGCGUUAAUCGGAAUUACUGGGCGUAAAGCGUGCGUAGGCGGUUUGUUAAGUCUGCUGUGAAAUCCCCGGGCUCAACCUGGGAAUGGCAGUGGAUACUGGCAAGCUAGAGUGUGUCAGAGGAUGGUGGAAUUCCCGGUGUAGCGGUGAAAUGCGUAGAGAUCGGGAGGAACAUCAGUGGCGAAGGCGGCCAUCUGGGACAACACUGACGCUGAGGCACGAAAGCGUGGGGAGCAAACAGGAUUAGAUACCCCCGUAGUCCCUGUCUCUUAUAC
RNAcentral lists this ribosomal RNA (301 nucleotides) under uncultured bacterium. Its description in RNAcentral is "partial 16S ribosomal RNA". It matches the Rfam family "Bacterial small subunit ribosomal RNA", at positions 509 to 807 of the family's 1533-position model. The record is from RNAcentral.